CUACGGGAGGCAGCAGUCGAGAAUCUUCCGCAAUGGACGAAAGUCUGACGGAGCGACGCCGCGUGAAGGAUGAAGGCCCUCGGGUUGUAAACUUCUGUCAGAGUUCAAAGAAACGGUGUUCAUGAAUAUUGGGCACCUUGACAUCAGGCUCAAAGGAAGCACCGGCUAACUCUGUGCCAGCAGCCGCGGUAAUACAGAGGGUGCAAACGUUGCUCGGAAUCACUGGGCAUAAAGCGCACGUAGGCGGCCUAUUAAGUGCGGUGUGAAAGCCCCCGGCUCAACCGGGGAACUGCACUGCAUACUGGUAGGCUAGAGCUUGGGAGGGGAAAGUGGAACUCCUGGUGGAGCGGUGGAAUGCGUAGAUAUCAGGAGGAACGCCAGAGGUGAAGACGACUUUCUGGCCCAAUGCUGACGCUGAGGUGCGAAAGCUAGGGGAGCGAACGGGAUUAGAAACCCCAGUAGUCC
Molecule: ribosomal RNA, 465 nt
Filed under: uncultured bacterium
Lineage: Bacteria
Description: bacterial SSU rRNA
Rfam family: Bacterial small subunit ribosomal RNA
Source: RNAcentral